AUAAUACCUCAUAGGUUAUGGAUGCUGGAAUGCUUCAUAGCUCAAAGCCCCGGCGCCUAAGGAUGACUCUGCGGACUAUCAGGUAGUAGUCAGGGUAACGACCUGACUAGCCUACGACGGAUACGGGGUGUGAGAGCACUAGCCCGGAGAUGGAUUCUGAGACACGAAUCCAGGCCCUACGGGGUGCAGCAGGCGCGAAACUUCCGCAAUGCUCGCCAGAGUGACGGAGGGAUUCCAAGUGCCUAUGCUAUGCGUAGGCUGUUUUUAUGUCUAAAUAACAUGGAGAGUAAGAGCUGGGUAAGACGGGUGCCAGCCGCCGCGGUAAUACCUGCAGCUCGAGUGGUAACCGCUAUUAUUGGGCCUAAAGCGUCCGUAGCCGGUUUGGUAAAUAUCUGGGUAAAUCGUGAGGCUUAACUUCACGAAUCUCGGAUAGACUGCCAGACUUGGGAUCGGGGGAG
RNAcentral lists this ribosomal RNA (458 nucleotides) under uncultured archaeon. RNAcentral's name for it is "bacterial SSU rRNA". It matches the Rfam family "Archaeal small subunit ribosomal RNA", at positions 146 to 607 of the family's 1478-position model. The record is from RNAcentral.